UGGUUCCUGAAAUCCGGCAAGAAGCCGUCUCCAUCUCUUUAAAAUACCGCCGCCGUUGGUAAAAAAAAAUCAGCAAGAACUAACAUGGCCCACCGACCACCUCUUGCUGGAGUUACCAUGAACUGCUGCUGCUUCUAUCCGUCUCUCUGAAAUUGCAGCCGUCGUGUCGCCUUUGAUGGAAAUCUGGCGAUUCCAACCUCCAACACUACCGCACCUCCAUCUCCCGCCAUUAGUAGCAGCGGUCUCCGCUCUCACUGCCGCUUCUCUCCACGCUCGAUGCGAUCAAAGCAACUCACUCCACCAUGUUAGUCACCCAAACCACGAGCUUGUGCUUUGUUGUAUCCGCCAGAUUCUGCGCUUUUCUCGUAGAGGACAAUAGCUGUGGAGUUAAGAAAGUAGCCACUGAGUUUGGGAAGAACAAUACAAGAAAUGGAGCUGCUAAAAUCGGCUCUGGGCAUUUGAACUAAAAUUUGGAACUAAAUAUACUCAGCAAAAGAAGGGAUACACGAAAGAGAUUGAGGCAGCUACUCCAAAGUGCAGCUCAAAUGGGCAAUGCGAAGACAAAAUGUAGGCAUGCGAAGCAGUUGAAAGGAGCACGCUAUACACAAUUUAAAAGCUCGAAAACAAUAUAAGAGAAACUACAAAGGAGUUUUACCUUGAUGAAGCACGGUCACGUCGCUGCCGACAUUGUUCCUUCGCCGACCCAAAGCUUACGCCUUUCCAUCACCAACACCGUAGCAGCUCCGAGCUCGAACCUCUACUCCGUUACGGUAGUAACUUCGCCGGAAAAGAGCUGAACAUCAAAUAAAAGCAAGGCAUUGUAAGUUCGUCGCCGACGACAUUCCGGCGUUGAAGCUAAAACAAACAAAAAGAGAAAGAGUGAAGUGACAUAGUUCUAUCUCUAAAAUAUAUAUGGAGAAGAUAAUCUACUGCAAGGUUAAGAGAAGAUCAAGGUGGAGAGAAGAAAUCGGAAAGAAAGAAGAGGAAAUUUCCUACUGUUAGUAGCGGAAAUGUGAACGGCUACUGAAAUCUACUACUAAGGGAAUUGGUGAAUGAGGAAGAGUGGCAACAUUGUCUCUAUUU
RNAcentral lists this long non-coding RNA (1083 nucleotides) under Salvia miltiorrhiza (redroot sage). RNAcentral describes it as "long non-coding RNA (SMIL_LNC007246)". Lineage: Eukaryota; Viridiplantae; Streptophyta; Magnoliopsida; Lamiales; Lamiaceae. The record is from RNAcentral.